Molecule: ribosomal RNA, 376 nt
Filed under: uncultured organism
Description: partial 16S ribosomal RNA
Rfam family: Bacterial small subunit ribosomal RNA
Source: RNAcentral
GGAGGGAGCAAGCGUUGUUCGGGAUUUACUGGGGCGUAAAGGGGCGUGUAGGUGGGUAGUUAAGUCAGAUGUGAAAUCCCUCAGCUCAACUGAGGGAACUGCAUUUGAAACUGAUUAUCUUGAGUGUGAGAAGAGAGAGCGGAAUUUUCGGUGUAGCGGUGAAAUGCGUAGAUAUCGAAAAGAACACCUGUGGUGCAAACGGCUCUCUGGCUCAACACUGACACUGAGGCGCGAAAGCUAGGGUAGCGAACGGGAUUAGAUACCCCGGUAGUCCUAGCCAUAAACGAUGUGCACUUGGUGGUGGGGAGUAUCCGACCCUCUCUGUGCCGAAGCUAACGCGUUAAGUGCACCGCCUGGGGACUACGGCCGCAAGGCU